RNAcentral lists this microRNA precursor (58 nucleotides) under Xenopus laevis (African clawed frog). Its description in RNAcentral is "Xla-Mir-31-P18_pre stem-loop". The record is from RNAcentral. Lineage: Eukaryota; Metazoa; Chordata; Amphibia; Anura; Pipidae.
AGGCAAGAUUUUGGCAUAGCUGUAGCAUCUGAACCUGUUGUGCCAUCAGAUUGCCAUC